This 373-nucleotide ribosomal RNA is filed under the name uncultured organism. Its description in RNAcentral is "bacterial SSU rRNA". It matches the Rfam family "Bacterial small subunit ribosomal RNA", at positions 526 to 896 of the family's 1533-position model. The record is from RNAcentral.
CGUAGGGUGCGAGCGUUAAUCGGAAUUACUGGGCGUAAAGCGUGCGCAGGCGGUUUGUUAAGAUAGGCGUGAAACUCCCCGGGCUCAACCGUGGGAACUGCGCUUAUGACUGGCAAGCUAGAGUACGGCAGAGGGGGUGGAAUUCCACGUGUAGCAGUGAAAUGCGUAGAGAUGUGGAGGAACACCAAUGGCGAAGGCAGCCCCCUGGGUCGAUACUGACGCUCAUGCACGAAAGCGUGGGUAGCAAACAGGAUUAGAUACCCUGGUAGUCCACGCCCUAAACGAUGUCAACUAGGUGUUGGGAGGGUAAAACCUUUUAGUACCGGAGCUAACGCGUGAAGUUGACCGCCUGGGGAGUACGGCCGCAAGGUUA